Molecule: long non-coding RNA, 637 nt
Filed under: Phasianus colchicus (ring-necked pheasant)
Lineage: Eukaryota; Metazoa; Chordata; Aves; Galliformes; Phasianidae
Description: lncRNA (ENSPCLG00000010297.1)
Source: RNAcentral
CCCAGGGCUUUUUUUUUUGUCUUUCAUACAAUGUUUUGAAAGUAGCUCCUCUGCACAAGGAGCUCUAUUUGUAUAUGAGUGCUAGAAAUUGUACACAAAUAAGGCUGUCUCUAAUCCAUUUGUUAUAAAGUGUCAUAAAAACAGCAAAGAGAGAAUAAUGCCUGGUUUCUACUCUGGACAGUCCUCCUCUCUAGGUGCAGCUGUGCUGGGGGUGAAGGCUCUGCCCAUUCCCAACUGCUGCCCAUCAUCUCAAUCUGCCACAGAUUCAGUCUGCAUCAGGUGCCCAAGCUGCAAUGUGGGAUGAUCUGAGCAAGUAAUUGCAAUGGAGCUGAGCAGGUUUUGUGAAAUCAAUUUGCAAUUGAGAUGCGUUUCUGCGAUCCCAGCAGUGCCGGCUCUGGCAUCGCUGCUCUCACGGAGCACCAUAUGCUUCCUUCUGUUUGUUUGCUGCCUUCCCAACGCUCCCAGAUCAUCUCAUUGGUGCUGUGGAGCAAACAUCCCCUGUGCUGCUGCUUCCUGUUCUGGAUCUGUCCCCCUGCUCAGGUGCCCUGCUGGCUCCACACUGAGGUGCAGAAAGCUUUCUGAUCACCAAGCUGUGUCCUCAGUUACAUCUGGAUGGCAUAGCUGUACAGGUGCAUAG